Molecule: ribosomal RNA, 340 nt
Filed under: uncultured bacterium
Lineage: Bacteria
Description: partial 16S ribosomal RNA
Rfam family: Bacterial small subunit ribosomal RNA
Source: RNAcentral
UGGGGAAUAUUGCACAAUGGGCGCAAGCCUGAUGCAGCCAUGCCGCGUGUAUGAAGAAGGCCUUCGGGUUGUAAAGUACUUUCAGCGGGGAGGAAGGUGUUGUGGUUAAUAACCACAGCAAUUGACGUUACCCGCAGAAGAAGCACCGGCUAACUCCGUGCCAGCAGCCGCGGUAAUACGGAGGGUGCAAGCGUUAAUCGGAAUUACUGGGCGUAAAGCGCACGCAGGCGGUCUGUCAAGUCGGAUGUGAAAUCCCCGGGCUCAACCUGGGAACUGCAUCCGAAACUGGCAGGCUUGAGUCUUGUAGAGGGGGGUAGAAUUCCAGGUGUAGCGGUGAAAU